RNAcentral lists this ribosomal RNA (250 nucleotides) under uncultured bacterium. RNAcentral describes it as "partial 16S ribosomal RNA". It matches the Rfam family "Bacterial small subunit ribosomal RNA", at positions 524 to 773 of the family's 1533-position model. The record is from RNAcentral.
UACGGAGGUCCCAAGCGUUGUUCGGAUUCACUGGGCGUAAAGAGUACGUAGGCGGCCUGUUAAGUCUGAUGUGAAAGCUCCGAGCUCAACUCGGAAAUUGCAUUGGAUACUGGCAGGCUAGAGAUCCGGAGGGGAGACUGGAAUUCUCGGUGUAGCAGUGAAAUGCGUAGAUAUCGAGAGGAACACCAGUGGCGAAGGCGAGUCUCUGGACGGUUUCUGACGCUGAGGUACGAAAGUUAGGGUAGCAAAC